AUGUCCCCAGCGCCUGCGUGGGGGUCUGACCCCAUCAAUCAAAUGCCUCCCCCAGACACGGCAGAGAUGAUCUCAUGGAGCCGAAGACCUCUCUCACCUGCUCCAGACCCUCCUGCUGCUUGGUCCUCCCUCCCACAGAGAUGCCCUGACUCUGUAUCCUGCCCCCACCACCCCCCGGACUGGCCAUCUGCACACAAGUGCCCUAUAUUACCUGGUCUCCUUUUCUGCCUGAACAAACAGCUGUCUGACUAGACCCCUGGUCCUGGCCUCUCUACAAGAGCCUAUCCUGUCCUUUGGCUUCCAGAAGAUGAGAGCUAUUAAGAGGCCAAGAAUCGGGGCACCCGGGUGGCUCAGUUGGUCCGGCGUCUGACUUUGGCUCAGGUCAUGAUCUCACGGUUUGUGAAUUUGAGCCCGUGGGUCGGGCUCUGUGCUGACAGCUCGGAGCCAGGAACCUGCUUCAGAUUCUGUGUCUCCCUCUCUCUGCUCCUCUCUCUCUCUCUCUUUCUCUCUCUCAAAAAAUAAGUAAAGCUUAAAAAAAAUUUUUUUAAGAGACUAAGAAUCAAAAGCCACAGAGAAAUGCAGGCCGGAUGCACGCUCUGAGGCUCCAUGAACACACUGCUUCUCCACCCCAAUCCACCACUCUCCUCCUUUCUCUCUCUCUCUCUUUUUAAAUGUUUAUUUAUUUUUGAGAGAGAGAGAGAGAGACAGACAGACAGACUGUGAGUGGGGGAGAGGCAGAGAGAGAAGGAGACACAGAAUCUGAAGCAGGCUCCAGGCUCCGAGCUCCGAGCUGUCAGCACAGAGCCCGACGUGGGGCUCGAACCCAGGAGCUGUGAGAUCAGGACCUGAGCCGAAGCUGGACGUUUAACCAACUGAGCCACCCAGGCGCCCCUCCUUUUUCUCUUUCUCUUCCUUAAUCAGUCAGAGUUUCUGAUUCCUGACGUGGAGCUUGGAAUGGGCAGGUUAGGUCAGAAAAAAACAGAAUUGGUAUAUCUCAAAGGAAGAGUCUGGACCAGACCCCAGGGGCAGAACCCAAGUGUGGAGAGUCUUCACUCACUUUGCCCCAUCUCUGUCCCCCUAUUGGACCCUGCUAGAGUCCUGAAGUUACUGUACAUGCUCAUUGAUCCCUCUCGAGUGAAUAAGCUCUUACUUCAUCCCCAGGAGCCAAUAACCUGCCCAGUGGAAGGUGGUGUGAUGUAACGAUUAAAAAUGAAUUUGGAGGGGCGCCUAGGUGGCUCAGUUGGACUUUGGCUCGGACUUUGGCUCAGGUCAUGAACUCGCAGUUGAUGAGUUUGAGCCCUGCGUCGGGCUCUGUGCUGACAGCUUGGAGCCUGGAGCCUGCUUCUGAUUCUGUGUCUCCCUCUCUCUCUGCCCCUCCAGUGCUCAUGUUCUCUCUGUCUCAAAAAUAAAGACAAACAUAAAAAAAAAAUUUUUUUUUGU
RNAcentral lists this long non-coding RNA (1440 nucleotides) under Felis catus (domestic cat). RNAcentral describes it as "lncRNA (ENSFCAG00000047306.1)". The record is from RNAcentral. Lineage: Eukaryota; Metazoa; Chordata; Mammalia; Carnivora; Felidae.